AACUGGUUCAUUUCCCAGCUCACUUAACUCCUUCAUUCAUGUGAUGGUUUUGGCUUAAGCACCUUCUUAAAAUGUAUUUCACUUGACCGAAUGAAUGAAACCAAAAGCUUUAUAACCCCAUUCAUAAGAUACCAUAUAUGAGAACUCAAAAAGACCAACUCCAUUCUGCAUUGUUUGAUAAGUAAAGGCCACAAUACCAUAAGCUAGAGCAGACCUUAAAGCGACAACUCCAAUAACUUCCAUACCGAGAAUCCCUAUACAUCACCCACCCCAUAACUAUAUUUUUACCAGCAACUACAAUACAUAUAUAUGUUCCGUUCAAAAAUAAAAAUCCAUAACCAUAACUGACCUCAUAUGAUUCCUUUAGAGAACCAAUAAUCAUAUUGAAUCAUUA
Molecule: long non-coding RNA, 394 nt
Filed under: Brassica napus (rape)
Lineage: Eukaryota; Viridiplantae; Streptophyta; Magnoliopsida; Brassicales; Brassicaceae
Description: long non-coding RNA (BNAP_LNC005203)
Source: RNAcentral